This is a long non-coding RNA of Capsicum annuum, 813 nucleotides long. RefSeq lists it as uncharacterized. Lineage: Eukaryota; Viridiplantae; Streptophyta; Magnoliopsida; Solanales; Solanaceae. The transcript has 2 exons. The record is from RefSeq and is a predicted model, not a curated record.
AAUGUAGUCAAAAGUUGGCUAAAAAAGAAAUGUCUUGACAAUAUCCUACGUUUUUAAAUUUAAUUUUUGGAUUUUAUUAAUAUCAAAAUAAAACAUGAAAAAUUAUUCUUACAUUUAUGGACCAACCCAUUAUAAAAUCUAUAAAUGAAAAUUGGGCUUCUGCAAUUUUUAAAAAAAGAUCCAGCCCAAAUCAUAAUUUCGUAUGACAUAUAAUCUCCCCUAGGGUUUCAUAAUCAAUUUUAAUGUCUUCUUCUCUGCCGUUUUAGCUCAUUUCCAGGUGAAAAAUUUCUUGCCUUCCCCUGAAUCCUCAAUUCAUCAGGCUUCUGCUUUGGAUUAUCAAUAUUCUACCUUUGAUCCUCAAAGAUUGUACUAUCUUUAGCUCUCAAAAGGUGAUAGGUCCUUGAGGCUGAUUGCAUGUCCAAGUAAGCUUUAAUUUCUUCUUCCUGUCCUUCUUCUUUAGCUGUAGUUUCUCCUUUACUCUCAUUUGAUUCCAGAUGUAGCCGGGAAGAAUAUAAUGGGAUGCUCGAACUCACAAUCUUUUGACCUGUCUUCUGCUUCUCAGGUGUAUUUGUUGCAUAGAUGUCACUCGACCCUCCCCCUUUACUAAGAAUCCUUUUUGAUGGCUGAAUCUAUAUAGACUAGUCAGCUAUAGGGUGUUGUUGUUGCCUCUUGGAUUGUAAAUAUUUUUUUUGUGGUGUCUUGUAGUACUUCUAGUUGUAACCUUUAGCCUUAUCAUCUUUUUGUUGAUGAUAAUCUAAUGUAUGGACACUGUGACUUGUCAUUGUUAAGGAUCUUCUUUCCUUGAAUUUCCAA